Molecule: long non-coding RNA, 933 nt
Organism: Felis catus (domestic cat)
Lineage: Eukaryota; Metazoa; Chordata; Mammalia; Carnivora; Felidae
Exons: 2
Source: RefSeq, a predicted model, not a curated record
AGCACAGAGCCUGACGCGGGGCUUGAACACACGAACUGUGAGAUCACGCCCUGAGCUGAAGUCGGAAGCUUAACCCACAGAGCCCCCCAGGCGCCCCACCCUUGGGAUUUCCUAAUUGCUCGGAGCUAGAAAGGUGUCUUGUUAUCCUUAACAAACCCGUUUCAAACACACCUGAGUUUAUAUUAAUGAGGUGAUUUCUAGAAAGCGCCUAAGCCUGCCAUCUGGGUGCCAGAGGAAGCCACGGAGAGAUUGGAGGGUUGCAAUUUUCAGUCCCACCCCUAGCCUUCCGGGGAAAGAAGUCCCUAGGUAACGAAGCCUCCUUAAAACCCAGAAAAGGGCUGGGUUCCGAGAGGUUCCAGAAGAGGGGCAAAGCAGGCGUGGAAGGUCGGCGUCCUUUCCCAGAGCUUGCUGGGUGCGUCUUUUCCACUUGGCUGUUAACAGUGACCGUCUAGAAGGUGUUUGCAGAACAGAGUCUUUCGUGGAAGAGAGGCCAGCACUGCACGGACGCACCUUGAAAGCCCCAGCUCCCAAUUCUGUUUCCUGCCACGGUGCUGUGCCACCCUGACCACUUUGGCGUCCUACGUCCCCGGCUUCAAGUUGAAUUUCUUAUACUAAAUAUUGAACUAAACAUGGAGUUGGUGGAUUUACACUGGGUUUUGCUGUCUUUCGGUCUGGAAGAAGCCCGAACUCCGGGGAUGUGGGUGGUACAGAUCAGCCGGAGGAGAGGACCUAAGAGAGGAAGGUUCCAGGCACCCAUUGAGAUGUGUGACUAUUUCAAAAGAAAGCUGUCCUCGGAAGAACCUGUGUUGUCAUCAUCCAAAGCCUUAGAGAGGCCAGCAUGGCCGUCAGAGUCCCUGUGGAAUUGUCCACCUGUCUCUCCCAAUAACACCCGCUCCCCAAAAAAUAAGUAAAUAAAUUAUGAUGGGGCACCUA